UACAGAGGUCCCGAGCGUUGUUCGGAUUCACUGGGCGUAAAGCGUGCGCAGGCGGUCUGCUAAGAGAGGUGUGAAAUCCCCGGGCUUAACCUGGGAACUGCGCUUCUAACUGGCAGGCUAGAGUGUGGCAGAGGGGGGUGGAAUUCCACGUGUAGCAGUGAAAUGCGUAGAGAUGUGGAGGAACACCGAUGGCGAAGGCAGCCCCCUGGGCUAACACUGACGCUCAUGCACGAAAGCGUGGGGAGCAAACAGG
RNAcentral lists this ribosomal RNA (253 nucleotides) under uncultured bacterium. RNAcentral describes it as "partial 16S ribosomal RNA". It matches the Rfam family "Bacterial small subunit ribosomal RNA", at positions 524 to 776 of the family's 1533-position model. The record is from RNAcentral.